This 497-nucleotide ribosomal RNA is filed under the name uncultured bacterium. RNAcentral's name for it is "partial 16S ribosomal RNA". It matches the Rfam family "Bacterial small subunit ribosomal RNA", at positions 28 to 507 of the family's 1533-position model. The record is from RNAcentral.
GAUGAACGCUGGCGGCGUGCCUAAUACAUGCAAGUCGAGCGAACGGACCAGAAGCUUGCUUCUCUAAUGUUAGCGGCGGACGGGAGAGUCACACGUGGAUAACCUACCUAUAAGACUGGGAUAACUACGGGAAACCGUAGCUUAUACCGGAUGAUAUUUUGCACCGCAUGGUUCAAAAGUGAAAGACGGUCUUGCUGUCACUAAUAGCUGGAUCCGCGCUGCAUUAGAUAGUUGGUACGGUAAAGGCUUACCAAGGCUACGAUGCAUAGACGACCUGAGAGGGUGAUCGGCCACACUGGAUGGGAGACAGGGCCCAGACUCCUACGGGAGGCAGCAGUAGGGAAUCGUCCGCAAUGGGGGAGAGCCUGACGGAGCAACGCCGCGUGAGUGAUGAAGGUCUUCGGAUCGGAAAGCUCAGUUAUUAGUGAAGAACAUAUGUGUAAGUAACCGUGCAGAUCUUGACGGUACCGGGUCAAAAAGCCACGGCUAACUACGUG